This 468-nucleotide ribosomal RNA is filed under the name uncultured bacterium. RNAcentral describes it as "partial 16S ribosomal RNA". It matches the Rfam family "Bacterial small subunit ribosomal RNA", at positions 28 to 507 of the family's 1533-position model. The record is from RNAcentral.
GACGAACGCUGGCGGCGUGCUUAACACAUGCAAGUCGAACGGAAAGGCCCUGCUUUUGUGGGGUGCUCGAGUGGCGAACGGGUGAGUAACACGUGAGUAACCUGCCCUUGACUUUGUGAUAACUUCAGGAAACAGGGGCUAAUACCGGAUAGGAGCUCCUGCUGCAUGGUGGGGGUGGGAAAGUUUCGGCGGUUGGGGAUGGACUCGCGGCUUAUCAGCUUGUUGGUGGGGUAGUGGCUUACCAAGGCUUUGACGGGUAGCCGGCCUGAGAGGGUGACCGGCCACAUUGGGACUGAGAUACGGCCCAGACUCCUACGGGAGGCAGCAGUGGGGAAUAUUGCACAAUGGGCGGAAGCCUGAUGCAGCAACGCCGCGUGCGGGAUGACGGCCUUCGGGUUGUAAACCGCUUUCGCCUGUGACGAAGCGUGAGUGACGGUAAUGGGUAAAGAAGCACCGGCUAACUACGUG